UCCGAGUUGACCCCGGCAGUCUCCCAUGAGUCCCCGCCAUUACGCGCUGGCAACAUGGAACGAGGGUUGCGCUCGUUGCGGGACUUAACCCGACAUCUCACGACACGAGCUGACGACAACCAUGCAGCACCUGUGUAUCGGCUCUCUUUCGAGCACCCCCGGAUCUCUCCAGGGUUCCGACCAUGUCAAGGGUAGGUAAGGUUUUUCGCGUUGCAUCGAAUUAAUCCACAUCAUCCACCGCUUGUGCGGGUCCCCGUCAAUUCCUUUGAGUUUUAACCUUGCGGCCGUACUCCCCAGGCGGAUAACUUAAUGCGUUAGCUGCGCCACCAAAACUCUAAGAGCCCUGACAGCUAGUUAUCAUCGUUUACGGCGUGGACUAC
RNAcentral lists this unclassified non-coding RNA (380 nucleotides) under uncultured bacterium. Its description in RNAcentral is "contains 16S-23S intergenic spacer region". The record is from RNAcentral.